UCCAGACUCCUACGGGAGGCAGCAGUGGGGGAUAUUGCACAAUGGGGGGAACCCUGAUGCAGCGACGCCGCGUGGGUGAAGGAGCGUUUCGGCGCGUAAAGCCCUAUCGGCAGGGAAGAAGGAGGACGGUACCUGACUAAGAAGCCCCGGCUAACUACGUGCCAGCAGCCGCGGUAAUACGUAGGGGGCAAGCGUUAUCCGGAUUUACUGGGUGUAAAGGGGGCGCAGACGGCAGCGCAAGCCAGGAGUGAAAGCCCGGGGCCCAACCCCGGGACUGCUCUUGAAACUGCGCGGCUGGAGUGCAGGAGGGGCAGGCGGAAUUCCUGGUGUAGCGGUGAAAUGCGUAGAUAUCAGGAGGAGCACCGGUGGCGAAGGCGGCCUGCUGGACUGCGACUGACGUUGAGGCCCGAAAGCGUGGGGAGCAAACAGGAUUAGAUACCCCCGUAA
Molecule: ribosomal RNA, 447 nt
Filed under: uncultured bacterium
Lineage: Bacteria
Description: partial 16S ribosomal RNA
Rfam family: Bacterial small subunit ribosomal RNA
Source: RNAcentral